Molecule: long non-coding RNA, 768 nt
Organism: Brassica oleracea var. oleracea
Lineage: Eukaryota; Viridiplantae; Streptophyta; Magnoliopsida; Brassicales; Brassicaceae
Exons: 3
Source: RefSeq, a predicted model, not a curated record
GAAGUGGGUAAAAGAUGGAGGCUUUAUCUUUCUGUGAUGUGAUUAUAGAGCUGAGACUCAAUCUCAAAUCGAUUAACAGAGAAGUGAGUUUUGGUGGCUUAUGUGCAUUUGACAUACAUGAGCUUUGAGUGCUGAUAACUGGAGGAAUCCCACCAAUUGGUAAAGCAUGCACAGCAGAUGAUACCUCUUCCACCAGGAGGCAUCCUCACUCCUAAGGGUUUUGAAACCAUUCAAAGCUGCUACAGAUCUCUUGGCCUCUAUUAUAUGAUUUUGCUACAUUGAAAAGUAACAAGGUGCCUGUUGCUGCGGCGGUGUACUAUGAAGAUAUAUGUAUGUAAACUUCAAGCUAGUGAUGGAAACAGCUUCUCAGAUAUAUGCAUUCGGGUCUUCGUGAUUUUGGAACACAAGUCCUUUCUCCUUUUGUUGACAAUGAUCAAUGGGAAAAGCCUCUCUUUUGAUUAUCUUUGUUUCAAUCUUUUUUGAGUAGUCACUGCUUUGUGAAUUGUGUUAAAGUCUUUGAAGACUGGGAUCAUCACUUUCCAGUUCAUGUCCAUGAAGAGCUUCUCAGCUAUAAGCAACCAAAAGAGAGAGAGAUAUUAAGUCAAUUAGAUCAUGUUUUUAGUAUGUAUCAAAAUCAGUUGUAGUCUAGCUGGUCAGGAUACUCGGCUCUCACCCGAGAGACCCGGGUUCGAGUCCCGGCAACGGAGUUCUUUUUAUUUUUACGUUGGAUUUUUAUCCCCAAAGUACAUACACAAUAAUCUUCUCAUU